RNA transcript from Prionailurus viverrinus (fishing cat), 2391 nucleotides. It is a transcript of the gene named X-ray repair cross complementing 4, with no coding region annotated. Lineage: Eukaryota; Metazoa; Chordata; Mammalia; Carnivora; Felidae. The transcript is spliced from 10 exons. The record is from RefSeq and is a predicted model, not a curated record.
GUCGUCUGUCUGUAGGAGCGGGCCUUUUGGAGGAGACCGGAAGUGGAGCGAAUGAGAGGUGACCAGAAAUGGAAAGAAAAGUAAGCAGAAUUUGUUUUGCUUCUGAACCAGAUAUAAUUCAUUUUCUACAAAUUGCUUGGGAGAGAACGCUAGCAUCUGGUUUUGUUAUUACACUUACUGAUGGUCAGUCAGCAUGGACCGGAACAGUUUCCGAAUCAGAGAUUUCUCAAGAAGCUGAUGACAUGGCAAUGGAAAAAGAGAAAUAUGUUGAUGAACUGAGGAAAGUAUUGAUAUCAGGAGGAGGACCAGCUGAUGCAUACAAGUUUGAUUUUUCUAAAGAGUCUUGUCAUUUCUCCUUUGAGAAAAACCUGAAAGAUGUUUCAUUUAGACUUGGUUCCUUCAAUCUAGAGAAAGUUGCAAGUCCAGCUGAGGUCAUUAGGAAACUUAUUUGUGAUUGCCUGGACACCAUUACGGAAAACCAAGCCAAAAAUGAGCACCUGCAGAAGGAAAAUGAAAGGCUUCUGAGAGAUUGGAAUGAUAUUCAAGGACGAUUUGAAAAAUGUGUGAGUGCUAAGGAAGCUUUGGAGACUGAUCUUUAUAAGCGGUUUAUUCUAGUGCUGAAUGAGAAGAAAGCAAAGAUCAGAAGCUUGCAUAAAUUGUUAAAUGAAGUUCAAGAACCAGAAAGGAACAUUGAGCAUGAAAGGGAAGCCACAACAUGUUCUGAAAUGACCGCUGAUAGAGAUGCAGUCUACGAUGAAAGUACUGAUGAAGAAAGUGAGAACCUGCCUGAUCCCUCUGUGUUAGCUCCAGCUACUUCUAGAGAUGAUUCCAUCAUUUCAAGUCCUGAUGUCACUGAUAUUGCACCAAGUAGAAAGAGGAGGCAGCGGAUGCAAAAAAAUCUUGGAACAGAACCUAAAAUGGCUUCUCAGGUGACUCAGCCUCAAGAAAAGGAAAAGCUUGAUCCUCCACAACCUGAGAAGUUGAAAAAGGAGCACAGCUCAACUGAAAACAUGUCUUUAGAAACUCUAAGAAACAGUAGUUCAGAAGACCUCUUUGAUGAGAUUUAACUGUCUCAAAAGAGCUACCAUUCCAUUCUUGGCCCAUAACUCACAAACUAGAGAAAUGUGCCCAUCAAGAACAAACUCACUACUAGUUGCGCUCAGAAAUGUUACCCCAGAGUGCCAAGGACAUGGCUGCCAAAAAGAAUUAAUCCCAUACCUACCCCAUUCAUGAUGACCUCGGAAACAGGAGAAGCAAACGUUUUUUACUGUUAACCAGAAGCAUUUCCCCCAAAUGACUGCAAAUAGCACAAAUGUCUGUUCCAUUGAUAGAUAAUUCCAGUGACACUUUUUUUUUUUUUUUUCAGCCAAGUAGAGAUAGCGUCACAGCAGGAUAAAGUGGGCUGGAGUCACUAACUUUGACGUUCCAAUCCUGGAUCUCCCACUGCCUAACUCUCUUCUCUCAAGCCAGCCACUUAACCUCUCUUUUGAAGUCAGCUUCCUCACAAAUGAGACCAGCUCACGUAUACUUCUUGUCUAAGCACCAGAUAAGGCAGAUAAUGUUCAGAGGCAGUAGCCACAGCUUAAUCCACAAUGUAAAAGUGCUUUCCGGAAGGGCUUCUCCCCCACCCCAGGAUUUCUUAAAUUACUAAACUUCAUAUGCUGUCCACCAGUGUCAAAGGCGACAGCCAAAUAAAAGGCCCGUCCUUGUACUAAAGACCAGGCCUUUCCCUGGUUAUGGACUUAUUUUAAUCAUGAACCUUGAUAUACUUGUAGAAAAAGUUGACUUGUUUUUCUUCAUAUCUCCCUGUUGGUGGGUAUCGUUUAAUGGGAAAUUUUUCAGUUUUUUAUUUGCUUUUAGUUGUAUUUUGCGUGUAUGUAUUUUUAGUUUUUUAGUUUUCUGAUUUUCCAGUUAUCUACAGAAGACUCGAAAUAUCCACCUUACUUUCCAGAGAAAUAGUUUUUAUAAAACAGAGAUGCCAUUUGUUAUCCAUAAAACAUGCUCUUUUUUUGACAUCUCCUGUAAUAUAGAGAAGACAUAUUCAUGUAUUUACUUGGGCUGAGAAAAGAUAGCAAAAUUUAGUCUUGGAUAUGUAUAGAUAACACUGUUAUCUAUUGCCUCCACCAUUACCAAAGAACUGGGUUCAGUCAGAAUAGGUAUUUGCUGAACAGUAAGGAAUACUAAGAGAUAUCUUGUGUGGGCAAAUUAGUUUGUAUACUUGACCCAAGCAGUUAGCACAGAGCAAAAGGGACCCAGUUUUCUGGAACCCUGUAUCAUAUAUUGUUGACUCCUGCUAGUUAUUUCUUCUAUGCAGACUCUCAUGAACUAAAAAAAGCAAAUUGACUUCCAAAAGUUAACCUAUGCAUGAAUAAAAGCACAACAUACACAGAA